Molecule: microRNA precursor, 127 nt
Organism: Chrysolophus pictus (golden pheasant)
Lineage: Eukaryota; Metazoa; Chordata; Aves; Galliformes; Phasianidae
Source: Ensembl
AGCGGCCCCUCGUUCCCCAUCACGAAUUACCUGGCGCCAGUGUCUGCCAGCAUCAGCCCCAGUGCCGUCACCAGUGCCAACGGGACAGUGCUGAAGACUACUGGAGCCAGUGCAGUGACAUCCGGGG